RNAcentral lists this ribosomal RNA (495 nucleotides) under uncultured archaeon. RNAcentral describes it as "bacterial SSU rRNA". It matches the Rfam family "Archaeal small subunit ribosomal RNA", at positions 965 to 1449 of the family's 1478-position model. The record is from RNAcentral.
GGCUUACUUGAGCUUUUGAGAGGAGGGUGCAUGGCCGCCGUCAGCUCGUACCGUGAGGCGUCCUGUUAAGUCAGGCAACGAGCGAGACCCACACUCCUAAAUUGCCAGCAGUACCCUUGUGGUGGCUGGGUACAUUUAGGAGGAUCUGCCGCUGCCAAAGCGGAGGAAGGAAUGGGCAACGGUAGGUCAUGCAUGCCCCGAAUGUGCUGGGCUACACCGCGGGCUACAAUGGUCGUACAAUGGGUUGAACCCCCGCGAGGGGGGCGCCAAUCUCCGAAACUCGAUCGUAGUUCGGAUUGAAGGGCUGAAACUCGCCCUCAUGAACGCUGGAUUCGGUAGGUAAUCGCGCUUCAUGCAGACGCGCGGUGAAUACGUCCCUGCUCCUUGCACAAACCGCCCGUCAAAGCACCCUAUUAAUGGUCCGGAUGAGGCCAUCAGGCGAUGGUCGAAUCUGGGCUUCGCAAAGGGGGCUUAAGGUCGUAAGCAAGGUAGCCG